This 446-nucleotide non-coding RNA is filed under the name Zea mays. Its description in RNAcentral is "Bacterial large subunit ribosomal RNA". It matches the Rfam family "Bacterial large subunit ribosomal RNA", at positions 853 to 1290 of the family's 2925-position model. The record is from Rfam by way of RNAcentral. Lineage: Eukaryota; Viridiplantae; Streptophyta; Magnoliopsida; Poales; Poaceae.
UUCUCCCCGAAAUGCGUUGAGGCGCAGCAGUUGACUCAUUGACUGGACAUCUAAGGGUAAAGCACUGUUUCGGUGCGAGCUGUACCAAAUCGAGGCAAACUUUGAAUACUAGAUAUGACCCAAAAUAAAUAGGGUCAAGGUCUGCCAAUGGGACGAUGGGGGAUAAGCUUCAUCGUCGAGAGGGAAACAACCCAGAUCACAGCUAAGGCUCUAAAUGACCGCUUAGAGAUAAAGGAGGUAGGGGGGCAAAGACAGCCAAGAGGUUUGCCUAGAAGCAACCACCCUUUAAAGAGUGUGUAUUCCACACUGAUCGAGCACCAUUGCGCUGAAGAUGAACGGGGCUAAGCGAUUUGCCGAAGCUGUGGGAUGUCAAAAUGCAUCGGUAGGGGAGCAUUCCGCCUUAGAGGGAAGCAAACGCGAAAGCGUGGGUCGACAAAGCGGAAGCG